This 509-nucleotide ribosomal RNA is filed under the name uncultured bacterium. RNAcentral describes it as "partial 16S ribosomal RNA". It matches the Rfam family "Bacterial small subunit ribosomal RNA", at positions 28 to 506 of the family's 1533-position model. The record is from RNAcentral.
GACGAACGCUGGCGGCGUGCUUAACACAUGCAAGUCGAACGAAGAGCGAUGGAAGCUUGCUUCUAUCAAUCUUAGUGGCGAACGGGUGAGUAACGCGUAAUCAACCUGCCCUUCAGAGGGGGACAACAGUUGGAAACGACUGCUAAUACCGCAUACGAUCUAACCUCGGCAUCGAGGAUAGAUGAAAGGUGGCCUCUACAUGUAAGCUAUCACUGAAGGAGGGGAUUGCGUCUGAUUAGCUAGUUGGAGGGGUAACGGCCCACCAAGGCGAUGAUCAGUAGCCGGUCUGAGAGGAUGAACGGCCACAUUGGGACUGAGACACGGCCCAGACUCCUACGGGAGGCAGCAGUGGGGAAUCUUCCGCAAUGGACGAAAGUCUGACGGAGCAACGCCGCGUGAGUGAUGACGGCCUUCGGGUUGUAAAGCUCUGUUAAUCGGGACGAAAGGCCUUCUUGCGAAUAGUGAGAAGGAUUGACGGUACCGGAAUAGAAAGCCACGGCUAACUACGU